Molecule: ribosomal RNA, 421 nt
Filed under: uncultured bacterium
Lineage: Bacteria
Description: bacterial SSU rRNA
Rfam family: Bacterial small subunit ribosomal RNA
Source: RNAcentral
UAAGGAAUAUUGGUCAAUGGACGCAAGUCUGAACCAGCCAUGCCGCGUGAAGGAUGAAGGUCCUCUGGAUUGUAAACUUCUUUUAUCUGGGACGAAAACGGGAUUUUUAUCUCAAUUGACGGUACCAGAGGAAUAAGCACCGGCUAACUCCGUGCCAGCAGCCGCGGUAAUACGGAGGGUGCGAGCGUUAUCCGGAUUUACUGGGUUUAAAGGGUGCGUAGGUGGGCUUAUAAGUCAGUGGUGAAAUCUCCGAGCUUAACUUGGAAACUGCCGUUGAUACUAUAGGUCUUGAAUUAUCUGGAGGUAAGCUGAAUAUGUCAUGUAGCGGUGAAAUGCUUAGAUAUGACAUAGAACACCAAUUGCGAAGGCAGCUUACUACAUAUAAAUUGACGCUGAGGCACGAAAGCGUGGGGAUCAAACA